CCUACGGGUGGCAGCAGUGAGGAAUAUUGGUCAAUGGACGAGAGUCUGAACCAGCCAAGUAGCGUGAAGGAUGACUGCCCUAUGGGUUGUAAACUUCUUUUAUAAAGGAAUAAAACGAGGCACGUGUGCCUUUUUGCAUGUACUUUAUGAAUACGGAUCGGCUAACUCCGUGCCAGCAGCCGCGGUAAUCCGGAGGAUCCGAGCGUUAUCCGGAUUUAUUGGGUUUAAAGGGAGCGUAGAUGGGUUGUUAAGUCAGUUGUGAAAGUUUGCGGCUCAACCGUAAAAUUGCAAUUGAUACUGGCAGUCUAGAGUACAGGUGAGGUAGGCGGAAUUCGUGGUGUAGCGGUGAAAUGCUUAGAUAUCACGAAGAACCCCGGUGGCGAAGGCAGCUUACUAAACAGUGACUGACAUUGAUGCUCGAAAGUGUGGGUAUCAAACAGGAUUAGAUACCCGAGUAGUC
Molecule: ribosomal RNA, 460 nt
Filed under: uncultured bacterium
Lineage: Bacteria
Description: partial 16S ribosomal RNA
Rfam family: Bacterial small subunit ribosomal RNA
Source: RNAcentral